ACAGUUCUUGCGUUGCUGUGGGCCAUAUACUAUGUUCUGUCGGGAAUGUUUGGUUCGUCCGAUAAUCAUCAGCAGCAGAGAUCAAGGGAGUACGAGGAGCAGAUGGAGCCUCUGCCACCGCCUGUUCAGCUCGGCGAGAUUACCGAGGGGGAGCUCAAACAGUACGAUGGCUCCGAUUCCAAAAAGCCCCUUCUCAUGGCCAUCAAGAGCCAGAUCUACGAUGUCUCUCAGAGCAGGUAUAUUUUUGUGGUUUUUUUUUUUUUUUUGGCGUUUCCUUUUGUGGGUCAACGCUGAUUUUGGUGUUUGCUUUUGCAAGUUAAGUAAAGUUUAGCUUUUGAGAUUUUUCAGAAGUAAAAAAUUUUAGUUUUUCUUUUGAUGGGUGAUCAAGAUUAAUUUGCCUCAUCUGUUAUCAACCCAAGAAUUUGAUUAUAAUUUUAUUAAUCUUAUAGAUAUGUUUCGAACUGCUUAAUUUUGACCGUAUAGUGGCUGAAGUUAACGAAUUCGCACUUUUGCAGUACUUGUGGAUUAAAAGUCCAGUACCAUGCUUUGUAUCUUGUUCCACACAAUUCGACACAAGCGAGUUGCUUUUCUCGUACUGCAUCAUGUAGCUCAAAUAGGUCUUUCUAUGAAGAAGCCCGUCUGGCUUCAAACAUUUAAAGUGUGAUAUUCAAUCUAAUGAUCUAUCAACUUUUUGCAGGAUGUUUUAUGGACCUGGUGGGCCAUAUGCGUUGUUUGCUGGAAAGGAUGCUAGCAGGGCCCUUGCCAAGAUGUCUUUUGAGGAAAAAGAUUUAACUGGUGAUAUCUCUGGUCUUGGUCCAUUUGAGUUGGAGGCAUUGCAGGACUGGGAGUAUAAGUUCAUGAGCAAGUAUGUUAAGGUUGGGUCUAUCAAGUCGACGGUUCCAGUAACAGAUGGAGCCUCCUCUGGUGAAUCCACUGAGCCUAAAGGAGUUGUUGAUACACCUGCAGAAAGUAAAGGAGUUGUUGAUACACCUGCAGAAACCAAAGAAGUAGAUAUCGCUAAGCCUGCUGAAGAUGGUCCGUCAGAAACUGCAGCCGCUGGAUCUGAGGCAACCCCAUCUUCUGAUGAUAUUAAGAAGGAGUAAGCCGAACCCCAUCCGUUGAUGAUGCUGAGGAGUAGAAUUUAAUCAUAAGGCAAACCCCAUCUGUUUGGCUGCUUGUAUUUGUGAAUGUUUUCACAUAUUAGUAAGUUUACAUUGUUAGUCUAGGAAACUUCUAU
This 1237-nucleotide long non-coding RNA is filed under the name Citrus maxima (pomelo). RNAcentral's name for it is "long non-coding RNA (CMAX_LNC004013)". The record is from RNAcentral. Lineage: Eukaryota; Viridiplantae; Streptophyta; Magnoliopsida; Sapindales; Rutaceae.